UGUUUAAAGUUUCAUCCAUUUGUAUUGUUAAAAAAUGGUAUGGUCGACAGAAUAACCGGAAAGUGACACUGGCGUGCCAUGUGUACCUUGUGUUAAUGUACAAGGAUCGGUUUUUAACAAUAGAACUAGAUGAAAAUUUUAACA
This is a non-coding RNA of Gossypium hirsutum (cotton), 144 nucleotides long. The record is from Rfam. NCBI's taxonomy places the organism in Eukaryota, Viridiplantae, Streptophyta, Magnoliopsida, Malvales, Malvaceae.